Pelobates cultripes (western spadefoot toad) is the source of this 255-nucleotide non-coding RNA. The record is from the annotation of a GenBank genome assembly. NCBI's taxonomy places the organism in Eukaryota, Metazoa, Chordata, Amphibia, Anura, Pelobatidae.
CUUUGAAGCUGCGUUCCUCUGCCUCGCAGAGUGGUUAACCUGUAGUGUGCCAGCUUGCUUAUAACCCCUAACUUGUUACAAUAUGUUUAGCUUCUAGUUUGGUGAAACAUUAGUUGCUCUCUAAAUUCACACAUAUUGCCCUUAUCAGUACUCGUCCAUGGUCUGUGUGACACGCAUAGCCAUUAACCCCUAAUUUACCAGUUAUGUGCCCUUCCUGCCCACUGCAACAGUAACUCAGAGUACUCUUAGUUAUUG